RNAcentral lists this ribosomal RNA (516 nucleotides) under uncultured organism. RNAcentral describes it as "bacterial SSU rRNA". It matches the Rfam family "Bacterial small subunit ribosomal RNA", at positions 311 to 817 of the family's 1533-position model. The record is from RNAcentral.
CACUGGAACUGAGACACGGUCCAGACUCCUACGGGAGGCAGCAGUGGGGAAUAUUGGUCAAUGGGCGAAAGCCUGAACCCAGCAAUGCCGUGUGGGUGAUGAAGCUUCUAGGAGUGUAAAACCCUUUUAUGAGGGAAGAACGAAAUGCGGUUAAAAUCUGUAUUUCUUGACGGUACCUCAUGAAUAAGCCCCGGCUAACUCCGUGCCAGCAGCCGCGGUAACACGGAGGGGGCAAGCGUUGUUCGGAAUUACUGGGCGUAAAGGGCCGUGUAGGCGGCCUAGCAGGUCAGAUGUGAAAUCCCCGGGCUCAACUCGGGAACUGCGUUUGAAACCGUUAGGCUUGAGGCUAGGAGAGGAAAGCGGAAUUCCUGGUGUAGCGGUGACAUGCGUAGAUAUCAGGAGGAACACCGGUGGCGAAAGCGGCUUUCUGGACUAGUUCUGACGCUGAGGCGCGAAAGCGUGGGGAGCGAACGGGAUUAGAUACCCCGGUAGUCCACGCUGUAAACGAUGAGCACU